UAUGUUCCCUUCUUGUUGUGCUCAGUAACUCCUGCCAGCUAGUAAGCAGCCCUCCUCUGCUGUGAUGUGCUCCUCUUUAACACCUUGGCUCAGCUCUCUGAAUAAUGCAGAAAGGACCAAUGCUUGCUGAUUCAGCACGGAGGACAGAUGCAAAGCAGUGUUUGGAGUUUGGGCCUUAUGGGCAGCUAUAUAGAACACAUGAUGCAAACUUAUAACAAACACAAACCUGUAACAAAAUAAGAGCAACCGCUGAUGUUGGUAGCGUUGUUUGAUGGAUCAAAGAAGCGAUUUCGAUAAGAAGACAUGGACCAUGAACAGGGAAGAAGGAGUAUGCACCUCAGACCAUUCAUAGGACAUCACCUACGGAGAAGGCGCAGUCAGUGGAGGAUGAAGUCAUCUCAAAGGGCCACGUUAAAAUUUUUCUGAGUCAAAGGUCCGUUUGUUAUCAGUUGUCAAUCAACAUGCCUUAAUAAAAUUACCUUGAACAAAACUUGCCUUCUUCAAUCAAAACAGCAACAAGCAUACAAUGUUAUUUCUAUUUAGGAAUAAAAUCAAAGGAAUGCAUCUAAAAUAAAAGCGAUCUGCAGCAGCAGUAGCUCAACAGGUUGAGCAGGUUGUCCAGUAAUCGGAAGGUUGCAGGUUCAAUCCCGGCUCCGGACAGAGAAUUCUGCUGUUGUGUCCUUGCCUGCUGGUGG
Molecule: long non-coding RNA, 695 nt
Organism: Nothobranchius furzeri (turquoise killifish)
Lineage: Eukaryota; Metazoa; Chordata; Actinopteri; Cyprinodontiformes; Nothobranchiidae
Source: RefSeq, a predicted model, not a curated record